Pelobates cultripes (western spadefoot toad) is the source of this 565-nucleotide non-coding RNA. The record is from the annotation of a GenBank genome assembly. NCBI's taxonomy places the organism in Eukaryota, Metazoa, Chordata, Amphibia, Anura, Pelobatidae.
AUAUACAAACACUACUAGGUUACCGGAACCAUCUCACCUGUUAUAGGAUGUAAAUACAUAUAAAAUUGAGAGAUGUUUUUUUAAAUUAACAGGUUAAUUUUCUCAGUGAUGUAUGUGUGUUCCCAGCAUAAUUUUUACAAUGUGUGAACAUAAGGUGAACUUUUAAUCCACAUUGUUGAAUGACAGUUACAAAGUUAGAUAUCUAAACAAUGAUUUUAUCCUCCCAUAUCAGUCAUUUUAUACUGUUCUUUUUAUACCUGUGCAUGAAUGCAUUUCAGCUGCUACAAAUCAAUCAGUCUGGGAUUGGUUCAUUCAGCAGUAGAUUAAGAGGAAUUUGAUUCAUACCAGUUGAAAGGUAUUAAUGUACAAAUCUAGUAAUAGUCACAGCCUGCUAUGCCCCAUGAAUCAUUCAGGGCAGUGAGUGACAUGGACAGCAGUGCUCCCCCUAUUGGUCAGUGCGUCUGGCUAAGAGAAAAGUCCAAGCUUCUGUAUAUGAAGGCUAAGGCUGGUUUCAACUUGCUGUUUGUACAUACACCAGCCAUGCCACCUGCAGGAUCUCUGGAAC